RNAcentral lists this ribosomal RNA (496 nucleotides) under uncultured bacterium. RNAcentral's name for it is "bacterial SSU rRNA". It matches the Rfam family "Bacterial small subunit ribosomal RNA", at positions 29 to 517 of the family's 1533-position model. The record is from RNAcentral.
AACGAACGCUGGCGGCGCGCCUAAUACAUGCAAGUCGAGCGAGAAGGUGUAGCAAUACACUUGUAAAGCGGCGAACGGGUGAGGAAUACAUGGGUAAUCUACCAUCGAGUGGGGAAUAACCAACCGAAAGGUUGGCUAAUACCGCGUACGCCUCCGAGUCUUCGGGUUCGGAGGGAAAGCUGCACUGUGAGUGUAGCGCUCUUUGAUGAGCUCAUGUCCUAUCAGCUUGUUGGUAGGGUAACGGCCUACCAAGGCUUUGACGGGUAGCUGGUCUGAGAGGACGAUCAGCCACACUGGCACUGCGACACGGGCCAGACUCCUACGGGAGGCAGCAGUAAGGAAUAUUGCGCAAUGGGCGAAAGCCUGACGCAGCGACGCCGCGUGGGGGAUGAAGGUCUUCGGAUUGUAAACCCCUUUCGGGAGGGAAGAUGGAACGAGCAAUCGUUCGGACGGUACCUCCACGAAGCAGCCACGGCCAACUUCGUGCCAGCAGCCG